AUUGAACGCUAGCGGGAUGCUUUACACAUGCAAGUCGAACGGCAGCGCGGACUUCGGUCUGGCGGCGAGUGGCGAACGGGUGAGUAAUGUAUCGGAACGUGCCCAGUAGCGGGGGAUAACUACGCGAAAGCGUAGCUAAUACCGCAUACGCCCUACGGGGGAAAGCAGGGGAUCGUAAGACCUUGCACUAUUGGAGCGGCCGAUAUCGGAUUAGCUAGUUGGUGAGGUAACGGCUCACCAAGGCGACGAUCCGUAGCUGGUUUGAGAGGACGACCAGCCACACUGGGACUGAGACACGGCCCAGACUCCUACGGGAGGCAGCAGUGGGGAAUUUUGGACAAAGGGGGCAACCCUGAUCCAGCCAUCCCGCGUGUGCGAUGAAGGCCUUCGGGUUGUAAAGCACUUUUGGCAGGAAAGAAACGGCGCGGGCUAAUACCCCGUGGAACUGACGGUACCUGCAGAAUAAGCGCCGGCUAACUACGUG
RNAcentral lists this ribosomal RNA (484 nucleotides) under uncultured bacterium. RNAcentral describes it as "partial 16S ribosomal RNA". It matches the Rfam family "Bacterial small subunit ribosomal RNA", at positions 29 to 507 of the family's 1533-position model. The record is from RNAcentral.